GACGAACGCUGGCGGCGUGCUUAACACAUGCAAGUCGAGCGGUAAGGCCCUUUCGGGGGUACACGAGCGGCGAACGGGUGAGUAACACGUGGGUGACCUGCCCUCAGCCCUGGGAUAAGCCUGGGAAACCGGGUCUAAUACUGGAUAUGACUCCAUGACGCAUGUUGUGGGGUGGAAAGCCUUGUGCGGCUGAGGAUGGGCCCGCGGCCUAUCAGCUUGUUGGUGGGGUGAUGGCCUACCAAGGCGACGACGGGUAGCCGGCCUGAGAGGGCGACCGGCCACACUGGGACUGAGACACGGCCCAGACUCCUACGGGAGGCAGCAGUGGGGAAUCUUGCGCAAUGGGCGAAAGCCUGACGCAGCGACGCCGCGUGAGGGAUGACGGCCUGUGU
This 392-nucleotide ribosomal RNA is filed under the name uncultured bacterium. Its description in RNAcentral is "bacterial SSU rRNA". It matches the Rfam family "Bacterial small subunit ribosomal RNA", at positions 28 to 421 of the family's 1533-position model. The record is from RNAcentral.